CUGAAAGCUACGGUCCCUGGCUCCCCGGUCAUACCAUGUGCGCUGGUGGGUCUGUGCCGCCUGAAGGUUUUCCCUUACCGUCCUGGUUAAGGCUUCCAGGCGGUCUCGGAGAGCCAACACAUAUGGUAUGAUGGGGGUGCCAUCUGCGCUCCGGUCUCCCUCCCAAUGCUCUCUUAUAAGAUCUAAGGGGCCUCUGACCCUCCUCC
Molecule: non-coding RNA, 206 nt
Organism: Pelobates cultripes (western spadefoot toad)
Lineage: Eukaryota; Metazoa; Chordata; Amphibia; Anura; Pelobatidae
Source: the annotation of a GenBank genome assembly